CGCGUAGGCGGUUUCUCAAGUCCGGGGUGAAAUCUUUCGGCUUAACCGGAAAAGUGCCUUGGAUACUGGGAAACUUGAGGGAGGCAGGGGCAGCUGGAACUUCCAGUGGAGCGGUGAAAUGCGUUGAUAUUGGAAGGAACUCCGGUGGCGAAAGCGAGCUGCUGGUCCUUUUCUGACGCUGAGGCGCGAAAGCCAGGGGAGCAAACGGGAUUAGAUACCCCGGUAGUCCUGGCCCUAAACGAUGGGUACUAGGUUGUAGACUUAACAUGGGUUUACAGCCGAAGCAAAAGUGUUAAGUACCCCGCCUGGGGAGUAUGGUCGCAAGGCUGAA
RNAcentral lists this ribosomal RNA (331 nucleotides) under uncultured bacterium. RNAcentral describes it as "bacterial SSU rRNA". It matches the Rfam family "Bacterial small subunit ribosomal RNA", at positions 568 to 898 of the family's 1533-position model. The record is from RNAcentral.